This 536-nucleotide ribosomal RNA is filed under the name uncultured Haloarcula sp. RNAcentral's name for it is "bacterial SSU rRNA". It matches the Rfam family "Archaeal small subunit ribosomal RNA", at positions 58 to 595 of the family's 1478-position model. The record is from RNAcentral. Lineage: Archaea; Methanobacteriati; Methanobacteriota; Halobacteria; Halobacteriales; Haloarculaceae.
UUGCACGAGUUUAGACUCGUAGCAUAUAGCUCAGUAACACGUGGCCAAACUACCCUACAGACCGCGAUAACCUCGGGAAACUGAGGCCAAUAGCGGAUAUCACUCUCAUGCUGGAGUGCCGAGAGUGAGAAACGUUCCGGCGCUGUAGGAUGUGGCUGCGGCCGAUUAGGUAGAUGGUGGGGUAACGGCCCACCAUGCCGAUAAUCGGUACAGGUUGUGAGAGCAAGAGCCUGGAGACGGUAUCUGAGACAAGAUACCGGGCCCUACGGGGCGCAGCGGGCGCGAAACCUUUACACUGCACGACAGUGCGAUAGGGGGACUCCGAGUGUGAGGGCAUAUAGCCCUCGCUUUUCUGAACCGUAAGGUGGUACAGGAACAAGGACUGGGCAAGACCGGUGCCAGCCGCCGCGGUAAUACCGGCAGUCCAAGUGAUGGCCGAUAUUAUUGGGCCUAAAGCGUCCGUAGCUUGCUGUGUAAGUCCAUUGGGAAAUCGACCAGCUCAACUGGUCGGCGUCCGGUGGAAACUACACAGCUUG